UUGGUUUCAAAAUAUUAUUGGGCGGAAUUGUGGGCAUUGGCGUAUUAUAGGACUAUUUAUUUAGUCCCGGAUAGAUCACAGUGGGAUAUCCCGGAUGACAUCAAAGCGUUGAAGGUAUUACCUCUGCCUCGGAAAAAGAAGAAGGGUAGAACAAAAGUACUUAGGUUUCCAUCCACCGGAGAAAGACGUCCAAAACGUCAAAGGACUCAGAACAAAAGGAGGCUGAGACAGUCGUUGCAAUGGUUGUUAUUUGGCACCCAUAGUAUUUGAUUUUAAUCAUUGUAAACCUUAUUCGCGUUGUGCAACUAUGUAACACUAGAAUUUCUUUCAG
Molecule: small RNA, 331 nt
Filed under: Arabidopsis thaliana (thale cress)
Lineage: Eukaryota; Viridiplantae; Streptophyta; Magnoliopsida; Brassicales; Brassicaceae
Description: ATSL155100
Source: RNAcentral